RNAcentral lists this long non-coding RNA (221 nucleotides) under Phoenix dactylifera (date palm). RNAcentral's name for it is "long non-coding RNA (PDAC_LNC018636)". The record is from RNAcentral. Lineage: Eukaryota; Viridiplantae; Streptophyta; Magnoliopsida; Arecales; Arecaceae.
AGUCAGUUGUGAGUCAAGAUGGAAUUGACCCCUCCUGAAAACAGGAGAUAAUGUCUUGUGAUUAAUUUAGCAAAACCUUGGCCAGGAUAAUUCUAGUGAGGAGUCACGGGAUAUCUAAAGUUAAUCACAUAAUGGAUAUACUAAUUAUAGGGUUGACAGUGAGCUCUAAGUCAUCCUGACAUUAGGAGUCAAAGGGAUUGAAUUAUACAGUAACCAUAGUU